CUGUUUGAGAGGUUAGCGAUGUUUUCGCAAAUUUUCUGCAAUUAGUUGCUAGUGGUCUUUCCUUUACUAGCACUUUGGUUUGGAAAAGUUUUGGCUUUGAUCGGCAACUCGGACUCUACUACUCUAAGAGCAGUAAGUUACUACUUUGUUUUACUACUAUUAUCUCUGUUAGCAGUCAAUUUCUCCUAUCUCCUGUCAUAAUGCAUAUAUGUUAUUAACUGAAAUUUAAGUGCCAGGCAUCCACUCUCUGUUACUCCAAUUUGAACUCAAUGAUUAAACUUCUUAAACCAAUCAGUACUUGCCCAACUGAUGGGCCAACCAGAAUAUGAACUCUCAACUGCAUCUAGAAAGGUAUCGUGGUUAUGAAAUAUCUGUUGCAUAUUAUGCCUUUGAAUUGGGGAAUGCCACAGUUAUGUAUCUAUGUUGUUUUCUUCCCUGUCUUGGUUUCUUCCUAGUUCUGUCUUAAUGCAAAGUACAAGGAGAAAGGACUUAUUUAAUAGAGAUGUCUUAUCAUCUAUUAGCAAUUAUGUUAUUUGCAAGCUUCAUUGUUAGCAAUAUUGUCAUUGUAUAUCUCUUGCUAGUGCCAUUAAAAUUGCGAUGUAUUAUGCAGUUAAAAAUGCUGGCCUAACACUGUAGCGUGUUUAUAUUUAAUUCUACAAGUGAAGCAUAUUAGUUAGUAAUGUGUACUCGUUUAUUAACGGUUGGGGGCGCUGGAAUUUGGAUUUGGUUUGCAGAUUCUGUGUUGCCGGAUACCUUCAUAUUGUUAAAAAUUGUGUGGGAAUCAAAAGGGUUGAGUAGGAUUUAAACACUCAAUUGGGACACAUUUCGGCCACUAAAAGUGUGUUUUUUGAUGAUAUUUUAGAACCUAAUAUUAACUUGUGUAUCUUCAUAUUCCUCUCUUCGAAUUUCUAACUGAAAAGUAACAAAUGUCCUUAUCGGUUCUUCCUUGCCGACUUUUCUCUCAUAUUUUGAAAUCAAAAAGGCUGAAACCAUUGAUUUUAUGCUUUGUAAACUUCAAAUCCAAAUUGUGUGUGUUGAUUUCUUUGAAAAACUCACAUGACCAUCAUUUUGACUCGGAAAGAAUAGGAUUGAGAUUGUUUGAGGCUGUUGAAAUGUGAACGACUCAAGGAUAGAGUUGAGACCUAAAUUGGAGAACAAAUUUCCCUUUUUUGUAAAUUUAUUCUUGAUUAAUUCGUCAUGUUGGGUUUUUCUCAUAAGCUUGCUUUGAAAUUUUUUGUUGUUAUACAUUUAAAAUAAUUGUAUGAAUUUACAGAAAUCAUGUUAGUCCAUGUUAACAUCUUAUAUUUGCAGAUGUAUCAUAGAAAAAUGUCGAAAAAUCUAUAUUAUCCAACUAUGAGUUGUUUUAUUUGUGCACUUUGGGAAAUUAAAUACUAUGCUAUGCGUAGAGCGGUUGUCUAGAUGCCAAUUAAAUUUGCUUUUCUUUCUUUUUUUUUUUUUCUUUUCAAGAAGAUUUCGUGAAUUUUGUGAAUAUUGUUACAUAAUUUCAAGAUUUCAUAAAUGUUUUUUAAUGAACAAAAAGUUUGGUAAAUCAAAUAAUACUAGAUAUGAGAAAUUUUUUCCAGUUUUUAUGAGGAACGAACUAUAGUGUAUUUUUAAAAAAUUUGUUGUUUUUUCUUUUGCUAAAAUUUGUUUUCUCUUAUCAAGUGUUUUCUGUUAUCAACGUAUUUUUUUAAAAUGAGCAUCAAGUGUACUAAUUUCUCUAAUAUAAAAUUGCAAAAGUCUGAAUUUUUUGUGUAGUUUAACAAGUAUAUAAAUUUACUGGUUUGUGGAUAAGUGCAUAAAAAAGUCACGUAUUUUUAUUUUAAGAGAAAAUUUAUUUUCAUUUUUUUAAAGCAGUUUUUGUAUUAUUGGGAAAACUUUGAAGUUUGAAGUGCAUUCGGUUUAUUACUUUUGAACAAAUGGAUAAUUUUUCUUUAGACUUCCAAAAAAGUGUAUAAUUAACUUUUUUUGUUGUGAUAAAUAAUUGAUUUCAUAAUACUUAAAGAAAUCUUUUAAGAUGAUAGGCGCACAGGUAAUUAAAAAAUAAACAAUGAGAUUGGCAUCUAGACAACCGUUUUACAGUGUAGUAUAUGAUAUUUUAUUUCCGAAGUUCAAAAAUAAACUAAUUUGUGGUUGAGUAGUAGCGAUUUUUCAACAAAUUUUACUGUGAUCCACCUACAAAGUUUGGAUGUCGAUAUGGACAAAUAUGGUGUUUCUGUAUGAUUUGUACAAAAGUCUUAAAUGUAUGACAAACAAAAGGUUUUGAAAAGGCUAAUGGGAUAAAACCUAACAUAAUGAAUAAGUUAGAGAAUAAA
Molecule: non-coding RNA, 2315 nt
Organism: Sesamum indicum (sesame)
Lineage: Eukaryota; Viridiplantae; Streptophyta; Magnoliopsida; Lamiales; Pedaliaceae
Source: RefSeq, a predicted model, not a curated record